AAAGAACAAUAGUUGCUUAGCUGCAAAACGAAGAAAACAGAUUGUUAAUAAGUUAUUUAAGUAGAUUCAGCCUAUCACCUUAUUCCUGAACUAAACUAAUAAAAUCAUUUUAUCAUAAUACAAUCAUAAGUAAACAUAUGAUUUAAUUUUAGAAUGCGUUUGUCUAACUUAAAAACUAAUUAAACUAGCUUUUCAUUUUAGUGCUUGUAAGUCAUGUUUUUAUAAGUUAAUUUAAUCAAAUAUUUU
This 246-nucleotide unclassified non-coding RNA is filed under the name Hevea brasiliensis (rubber tree). The record is from RNAcentral. Lineage: Eukaryota; Viridiplantae; Streptophyta; Magnoliopsida; Malpighiales; Euphorbiaceae.